Molecule: long non-coding RNA, 8391 nt
Filed under: Gossypium raimondii (Peruvian cotton)
Lineage: Eukaryota; Viridiplantae; Streptophyta; Magnoliopsida; Malvales; Malvaceae
Description: long non-coding RNA (GRAI_LNC010642)
Source: RNAcentral
CCAGCAGCACAGUAGUGAACCACCUUGGCCUUGUCUAGCUCAAUGUUCUCAGGUGGCGCCAUAGCAUGGCCAUCACCAGGUUGUAAAUGGGAGGGAUGGGCCUGUAAAUGUCCCUAAAGUACAUGUUCAGAUAAUCCUACUCCGCAAAUAGGGUAGGAGGGGUGACUUUGAGGGUAGUCAAGAGGUCCACAUAUGUAGAAAGGCUAGGUUCAUAUACAAACAUUCCAGCGUUGAAGUAAAGAGGAGGUUUAGGACCAAGCUGCGAAGGCCAUUGGACCUUAUCAGGGCACUGCUACCUUUCCCAGGGUUUAAUGUGGAAACUGUGGAAUAUAAGAACAUUAGCUUCACCGUUUGGGAUGUUGGAGGUCAGGACAAGGUAAUAUUACGGGAACCCGAAAAAUGUUGCAGAACAAACCAUAAUUAGUCAUCAUUUUACCAUUAUAUUGUUUCCCUGGGUCUUAUUGCUUGAUGGAACAUGAUAUUUUACCCUGGGUAAACUGUACAAUACAUUGAUGUUUCAACUAAUGGAUAUGCUUAGGGACGAUCUUAUGCUCAUGGCAUCAGCAUAUAAGAUAAUCAUAAUCUACAUCUACUAAUGCCACCUCGCCUUUCUAGUUUAUCCUUUGGUGGUAUGAGGAGAGGUUAUCCAUGUCGUGGCUGUUGCAUUAUUCGGCAUCUUGCCUUUAUUGUAUGCAACACAUUCCAAUUUUACUUCUCAAUGAUUCAAAUCGAGUAGCCCCUAAGGGCUUGGUCAGUAUGUCAGCCAAUUGUGCUCCAGAGCUACAAUGCACAAGGCUGACUUCCCUUGUUUGCUCAGCUUCUCGAACAAAAUGCAACUUAAUUUUAAAGUGUUUAGUUUUACCAUGGAACACAGGGUUCUUAGCUAUGGCAACUGCUGACUGGUUGUCCACCCAAAGUUCAGUUGCAUCAGCUUGUGUUUCAUUAAGAUCCUGAAGUAACUUCCUAAGCCAAAUGGCCUAAUUGACUGUUGCUGCUGCAGCCAUGUACUCUGCUUCAGCUGUGGACUGAGCAACAGUUUGUUGCUUCUUUGAACUCUAGCAAAACAUGCCUGAUCCAAGUGUGAAGAAGUAUCCAGAGGUACUCUUCAUGUCAACGAGGGAUCUUGCCCAGUUACUGUCUGAGUAACCUUCUAGUUUCAGUUCCUUCCCACUUUCAAACAUCACACCAAAGCUAGCAGUGCCUUUGAUAUAUCUAAGGACCCUCUUUGCAGCCUUCAAAUGUGCCUCAUUACAACAGUGCAUGAACCUAGAUAGCAGACUAACACCAAACAUGAUGUCUGGCCUGGUUGCUGUCAAAUAUAACAGGCAACCUACUAGGCUUCGAUAGUGCCUCUCAUCAACUCUCUACUGAUCUCCACUGCUUGUCAACUUUUCUCCUUGAGCCACUGGUGUGCUGACUGCUUUACAGUUAAGCAUGCAAAAUUUGCCUAGAAUCUUUAAAGAAAAUGUUUGUUGGCUGAUGAAGAUGCCUCGAUCAGACUGGUGAACUUCCAUGCCAAGGAAGUAUGUCAUGACCCCCAAAUCAGUCAUCUCAAACACUUGCUGCAUUUGAAGCUUGAAUUCAUCAAUGAGUUCAACUUUCUCCCUGUCACCAACAAGUCAUCCAUAUACAAGGAGACAAUCUGCAAGGUUUCAACUUCUGACCUCUUAACAUACAGGGUAGGCUCACUAAGACUCUUCACAAAUCCAAGCUUGAUCAGGUAAGCAUCAACUCUAUCAUACCAGGUCCUUGGUGCCUGUUUCAGGCCAUAAAGGGCCUUUCUCAGCCUGUACACUUUGUCUUCAUGUCCAACAACUUCAAAACCUUCUGGUUGCUCAAUGAAGAUUUCCUCCUUAAGAAAGCCAUUUUGGAAUGCUGAAUUUACAUCCAAUUGGUGAACCCUCCACUGCUUCUGAGCUACUAAAGCAAACAAAAGCUUGAUUGUCUCCAGUCUUGCUACUGGAGCAAAUGUCUCCAAGAAGUCCACCCCAUAUUGCUGACUGUAGCCCUUCACCACAAGCCUUGCCUUGUGCUUAUUCAAUGAGCCAUCAGCAUUGUACUUGGCUCUGUACACCCAUUUAACUCCUAUGACCUUCUUGUGUUCUGGUCUGCUCACCAAUUCCCAUGUUUGAUUUUUGUUGAUCAUUUCCAGCUCAGCCUCCAUAGCUUUCAUCCAGUUCUUGUCCUUGGCAGCCUCUUCAAAGUCUGAAGGCUCAAUCACAGCAACAUUACACCUCUGAUAGACAUCAGCCAAAGUUCUGGUGCCCCUCACUGGUGUAUCAUCAACAACAUCAUCACUCGAUCCUUCUUCUGUAGGUUCAGCAACCAAGUCUAACUGGUCCAUUUCAGGCAUGUCAGCUUCAGCACCAUUCCAAUUCCACACCUUUUCUUCAUCAAAUUUUACAUCCCUGCUGACUUGAACCUUCUUUGCUGUAGGAUCAUACACUCUAUAACCCUUCUUGUUGCUGCUAUAGCUAACAAAGAUUCCUGGAGUUGCCCUGCUCUCGAGCUUGGUUCUCUUUUCCACUGGAACAAGAGCAUAACACACACAACCAAACACUUUCAGGUGUGUUACCACUGGUUUGGCUUCAUGCCAAGCUUCAAAAGGAGUCUUAUCCUUGACUACUCGAGUUGGCAGCCUGUUGAGCAGGUAUACUGAGGUGUUAACUGCCUCAGCCCAAAACUGACUUGGAAGCUUGCCAUGAAACAAUAGGCACCUGGCCAUGUUCAGCAUAGUCCUAUUUUUCCUCUUACAGACACCAUUCUGUUGAGGAGUAUAGACUGUAGUAAGCUGAUGGUGAAUCCCAGCACUAUCACAAAGCUUCUGAAAUCUCUCAGACACAUAUUCAGAGCCAUUAUCAGUCCUCAAGGCUCUAAUUUUGCAGCCUGACUGAUUUUCAGCAUAUGCCUUAAAUUUGCAGAAGGCCUCAAACACUUCUGACUUCUGCUUCAACACAACCUUGUUAAAUCAUCUAUAAACAGGACAAAGUACCUGUUCUCAUUGAUUGAAGGUGUUCUCAUACGGCCACAGACAUUAGAGUGCACCAAUUCGAGCUUAUUUUGAGCUCUCCAAGUACUAUCAGCAGGAAAAGGCAGUCUAGCCUGCUUACCAAGCUGACAAACCUCACAAACAUUCCCACUAGCCUCAAUUUUUAAAAUGUCAUCAACCAAAUUCAGUUUAUGCAACAGAUCAAUAGAUCUGAAAUUGGCAUGACCUAGUCUUCUAUGCCACAAGUCAGUGCUGUCAACAAGGCUGGUGUAUGCCUUUCUUUCCACUUGGCUAACAUCCAGCAUAAAGCACCUAUCAGUCAUAGAGACUGUGACUAACUCUUGACCAUGCAUAUCUUGAACACUACAGUAGCCACCUUUAAAAACCAAUGUAUAGCCCUUUUCAACUAAUUGGCCUACACUAAGCAUGUUCUGGUCUAAGUUAGGUACAAAAAGCACAUCUGAGAUCAGCUUGUUACCUAAACCAGUGCUAACCAGCACAUUACCCUUGCCCUUAGCCUCAAUCAGCUUGCCGUCCCCAAUUCUGAUCCUCGAGUGGAAGCUUCUGUCUAGGCCCUUGAAUAGCUUCUCAUCUGCUGCCAUAUGGUGUGAACAACCAUUGUCUAGCAGCCAAUCAUUGUUGGCCUUUGUUGUGCCAACAAAGCAGGUUGCAGUAAAUACAUGCUCCUCCUGAGCUUGCAAAUCCUCAGCAGGUCGAGCUUGUUGCUGAGUGGUUUCCUUUGGCUUGCCCUUGCACACCUUCUCCGCAUGACCAAACUGCUUGCAGUUUCUGCAUUGUAUGUCUGGCCUAAACCAGCAGUAUUUUUCUGAGUGUGUUGUCUUCUUGCAGUGAACACAUGGUGGGAAAACCCUUUUUGCUUCAUCUCUUCCUGACUUGGCCCUUCUAUUGUGCCAAGGCUUUUUGCCUUUUGUACUCACACUCGAGCCUUCACUGGCUUUAACCUGAAAAGCAGCCUCAGGAUUCUCCUCCUGCCUAUUUGCCCUCCUUUGCUCAAGUGUAUACAGAGAGUUUAUCAGCUUAGACAAUGAAAUGGCUGAUAAGUCCCCCGAGUUCUCAAGUGAAGAGAUUUUUGACUCAAAUUUCUCAGGGAGAGUUAUGAUGACCUUUUCAACAACUCUGCUCUCUGUGAAAUCCACUCCCAAGAGCCUUAUGCUGUUGACAAUGGCCAUUAUCCUGUCUGAGUACUGCUUGAUGGUCUCAGACUCUUUCAUCCUCAAAUUCUCAAAGUCUCUCCUGAGAUUGAUCACCUACUGUUGCCUUGUCUUAUCAGUCCCCAUGAACUCCUCCUUCAGCUUCUCCCAGGCCUGCUUUGGUGAGUCACAGGCCAUGAUGCGAGUGAAUAUCACAUCAGAGACUCCAUUUUGCAAGCAGGUCAUAGCCUUAUGCUUCUUGGCUCUCUCCUCAGCAUGCUGCCUCAUCUGUGCAAUGGUGGGAUUGGCCCUCAAUGGAGGUGGUUUAGCAUCAUUCUCGAUUACACUCCAGAGAUCAUGUGCCUGGAGGUAAGUCUUCAUUUUGACUAUCCAAAUGUGAUAGUUUUCUCCAGUGAACACUGGUGGAGGUGGUGGAGUGAAACUCAUUUUGCUAGACUGAGUUCAAAGGCCUCGAUCACUUCUAAAUUUUAGCUUUGCUUUUGGUUUGAAAAACAACAGAAUGCAUAGGCCCCUCAAAGAUUCGGGCUCAUGAUACCAUUUGUUGGAACAUUGGCAGCAUCGAGCAAACAAAUUUACCAAGCAGAAGCAAGAUUGAUCGAAGCCAAAAAAAAAAAAAGAAAAAUUGGUAGAGCAGCAAAUGAAACUUGAAUGUACAACAGGAAAAUCGUAACUGAACAUCACAAUUUUCAUUCAAAUUUUGAAAAUAUAAAAGAGUUACAUUUUUGGCUUAAUUUGACAGUUACCUAAUGACAUAACUGCUCUCACUUAACUAAAACUAAUACAAACUUAAACAAUCUACAAAGAUAAGCUGACAUUUCAGCUUUUACAUCAAAAAUCAAGUCACAAACUUAAUCCUACUAACUUUGAGAGUUAGUUACAAUUGGACUAAGCUAAAUAACAUUACAACAAAAUAGCUAAAAACUGAUUGCUUUAUUCGGUCCAAAAAUCAACCUUGCAUGCCAAGCAAAAACAGUUGAGCUCGAUAGCUGCUGUUGAUCUCGACAGUGGUUGGCGCCAUGUUGCAUUGCAGUCCAGCUCUCAACACUUGCAUUUGCCUGUUUCUUAAAAUUUAGGAGUGAAAUAUCUCGAGUCUGAUAGCAUGUCUUGUUCUAAUGGCUUUAUGGGAACUUUCAGAUUCGACCUUUGUGGAGGCACUACUUCCAAAAUACUCAGGGGCUAAUCUUUGUUGUGGAUAGCAAUGAUCGUGAUCGUGUUGUUGAGGCCAGGGAUGAGCUUCACCGUAUGCUAAAUGAGGUGCCAGUUUGCUUCUUUGAACUUUGUUGGUUUGGUUUCUCUGUUAACUUGAAAUUUUCAAUAAUGAGGUCUACAUGUAGCUGUUAUGCAUGUGUAAUUACUAUUUUCAAUUAUUUUGUUGCUUAUAAUAUGUGUAGGAUGAGCUGAGGGAUGCUGUGCUGCUUGUAUUUGCAAACAAGCAAGAUUUACCAAAUGCUAUGAAUGCUGCUGAGAUCACUGAUAAACUUGGUCUUCAUUCCCUCCGUCAGCGCCACUGGUAUAACCUUUUCCCUGUUUGUUUAUUUCUAGAUUGGUCUGCCAGUUGUCUGUUCUGUUUUAAAAUCUCUCUUGUGAGUCACAGGUAUAUUCAGAGUACAUGCGCUACCUCUGGUGAAGGGUUGUAUGAGGGUCUGGACUGGCUCUCCAACAACAUAGCUAACAAGGUAGGUUCAGACUGAUACGUGUGUCCUUUAUUGAUAUUGUUCUGUUCUAAUUCUCGCUUCCAUUCAUUGUAUUUUUCCUAGGCUUGAGGUGGUUGGUAGAAGGUCGGUGACAUUUACAUUUGGGGUAGCAAUCUUUGUGGAAUUCGGAUAUGUAUAUCUCUAUUUUAUGAUAUGUUGCGUUAUUGGGGUUUUGUUUUUUUGCUUUUGCUCGACAACUUUUAAAUGAAAUGGAUGAGCUUGUGUUUAGAUAUGCUUUGUAGAUGGAAUUCAUUGUUCAGAGUUAAUUAACGAAUUCAUUGUUGACAUUUCAUAGGAACAUGUUACAUUUUUUACUUGUGGGGGGUAUCAAUACUAUGUUGAUUCUUGUUUGUUCAAGAAAAGUUUUAAGCAAGUAGAGCUGAGGUGGGGAAGAGUGAGGCCAUUUCAUUUUAUUUUGCGUAAGUCUCCUUCACUUCUUAGGAUCUCGGCCAUUUCACAUGUUUAUACCUUAGAGACAUUAAAGUAGUUUUGUUUUGGACAAUGUGACUGGUUUGUUUGCUGCAAGGUUAAAGCCACAAAGCACCUAACCAUUGAGGACAAGAGGAGAGCCAGUGACAAUGUGACUGCUUUCCGUCACUCAACAGACUUAAAAUGUUUCUCAAUACCAGUAUUAUCCAAGCAAUUCUGAGUUUCAAGAAUCCCUUCUGUAUAAUUAUAAUAGUAAUAAUAAGUCGGGGUGGAACGAAAUCAACCCAAAUGAUCCGACAAACACACAAUUUGCAUUGACAUGUUUUAUACAAAAUGCAUUUAUUAGUUAAAGGAUCUGCUUCAAUUAUCCAAUUUUUUUUAAAAUUAAAGUAUACUACUUGAUUCAUCAUUCAAUUUUUAUAAUCACCCAAAUAAAAAUAUUUAUAAUUUAAUCAUUUUUGUUACAAUAAUUAAAUAUUUUAAUAUUUUAGGCACCCCACUACUAACCCACUAAUGGAGUCUAAUGUGGCAUUCCACAUCAUUUUUUACCCGCUGUUGUUAAUCAUCUUCUUCUUCCUUUGCUCUCUGCUUCUGGUACACUCUCUUUCUUUACCCAUCACUGCACCAUCAAGGGGUAGCUUAGUAUUAAGUAGUGGCUCCUGCGUAACUACGUUCUGAGACGGUGCAGUGAAUUGCAUGAAUGACAGACUGAGACCAAGUAGUUUUGGUUGAUCUAAAAAUUCUAAUGGAUGAGUGGGUGAAUUAUGCAUCGCAACUGCCCAUGUUUGUAUGUAUGUACGAGGAUUACCGUCGUUAUGGGCCAUUGGUAAAGGGAAAUGAANNNNNNNNNNNNNNNNNNNNNNNNNNNNNNNNNNNNNNNNNNNNNNNNNNNNNNNNNNNNNNNNNNNNNNNNNNNNNNNNNNNNNNNNNNNNNNNNNNNNGUACUGUUCGCUAGUCACGGGUAGUAGUUAGGUUUGCUCGAAUCCAAUAUUCCAAUCCUUAAAUGUGUUUACCGAAGUGAGUGUCUUUUGCGGUUCAAAUAGGGAAUCAACUACCAUAUUUUUCAUUUUUCAUGUAUUUCUGACUUGAAUUAACUCCUUGUGUUGUAACUAUACAAUGUAAUACACGUUUUGCAGACUCUGCUAUGCGGAGCUCCUCACUUGUACGUGACAAGUCCAUCAAACAAGGGCUAAUUUUAUUUACUUCAUUAUUCAACUUCUAGGAAAAAGGUUGGUGCAUCGGAGGCUGAAUAACAAAUUUAAAAGAAAAAACUAUAUAUUAUCCCAUAAAUGGUAUACCAAUAUUCAUUUUUAUGUAAAAAAAAAACAAAAAAAACCAAUCAAACCAGACACAAGGACAACAUAUAACAGUCCUUAUGUUCCUGAUGAUAAAACAUCUGUCCAUUUCAAAAAUGGAAGGACAGAUCAAAUACAUACUACAAACAAGAAAAAAAUUGAACACAUUUACAUUCAUUCCUACACUGCUUUAGCUUAGGUGGAUUGUAUUGUAUUACUAAUCUGUAUCGUCACCAAAUUAAGCAGCGGAAGGGGCGUUAAUACGGUGAACAAAGCCGCCGGCCUUUGACAAAGCUGCCAAAAGCAGUUGCAGGCCGCUUUGCUUAUCCUCAUCAGCUUCUGCUGCUUGGCCAGAAGCCACGACAUUGUUGUAGUCAAGCGACUCAUCAUCGUAAAUCUCCCACCAUUUAGCCACCAGCGUCUUAAUGUCUUCCCUGUCCAUGUUGUCUUCUUUGCCGGUAUACCUCCAGGGUUUGGAGCCAGCAGCACAGUAGUGAACCACCUUGGCCUUGUCUAGCUCAAUGUUCUCAGGGUGGCGCCAUAGCAUGGCCAUCACCAGGUUGUAAAUGGGAGGGAUGGGCCUGUAAAUGUCCCUAAAGUACAUGUUCAGAUAAUCCUGCUCCGCAAAUGGGGUAGGAGGGGUGACUUUGAGGGUAGUCAAGAGGUCCUCAUAUGUAGAAAGGCUAGGUUCAUAUACAAACAUUCCAGCGUUGAAGUAAAGAGGAGGUUUAGGACCAAGCUGCGAAGGCCAUUGGACCCUAUCAGGGCACUGCUGGCAGUAGCCGAUCUUGUACUGAGGGGUGUGGCUCCAU